Molecule: small nucleolar RNA, 106 nt
Organism: Dendrobium catenatum
Lineage: Eukaryota; Viridiplantae; Streptophyta; Magnoliopsida; Asparagales; Orchidaceae
Source: RefSeq, a predicted model, not a curated record
AAAGCAUGGUGAGGGCAUUUCAUAAGUAUUUUUUUAAAAACUCUCAACUCUCAUAAAUUGAUUCUCCAUGAAACUGGGUGAAAUAAGUGAUAUCAUUUAUAAGUUU